RNAcentral lists this transfer RNA (74 nucleotides) under Endozoicomonas montiporae. It matches the Rfam family "tRNA". From Rfam's summary of the family: Transfer RNA (tRNA) molecules are approximately 80 nucleotides in length. Lineage: Bacteria; Pseudomonadati; Pseudomonadota; Gammaproteobacteria; Oceanospirillales; Endozoicomonadaceae. The record is from Rfam by way of RNAcentral.
AGGCGGUUAGCUCAGUUGGUUAGAGCGCCACGUUGACAUCGUGGAGGUCACCAGUUCGAAUCUGGUAUCGCCUA